GACAGAGGGUGCAAACGUUGUUCGGAAUUACUGGGCGUAAAGCGCGUGUAGGCGGCAGCGUGCGUCGGGCGUGAAAUCCCACGGCUCAACCGUGGAAGUGCACUCGAAACUGCGCAGCUAGAGUCCUGGAGAGGAAGGUGGAAUGCUUGGUGUAGAGGUGAAAUUCGUAGAUAUCAAGCGGAACACCGGUGGCGAAGGCGACCUUCUGGACAGUGACUGACGCUGAGACGCGAAAGCGUGGGGAGCAAACAGG
RNAcentral lists this ribosomal RNA (253 nucleotides) under uncultured bacterium. RNAcentral's name for it is "partial 16S ribosomal RNA". It matches the Rfam family "Bacterial small subunit ribosomal RNA", at positions 524 to 776 of the family's 1533-position model. The record is from RNAcentral.